GCCCCUCUCCGUGCAUAGGUGCUCCCACAAGCUGGAUGAGUUAAGAAUUCUUUGGAGCAUAGAAUAGGCUGACUUGAUCUUCUAAAGGAAGAUUCUGACAUUCCUUUCCCUUCAAAUUUCCAACACACUGGAGUAAAUAGUUAAUCACCAGCUUUCUUGCAUAAAAAUUGUCGGUUCCUUGCUCUUCAAUCCAUCCACAAGUGAUGUAGGUUUGAGAGACCCACCUUCUGCUUCCAGAGUAUUUUAAUGUCUAUCCAAAUUCUUCUACUAAAUGGCAUCUUGCAAAGAGGUGGUGUACUAUUUUAGAUGGUGAACCGCAGGGGGGGUAGCCAAAGCUUGCUUGCCAAACUUUUUUGCUCCACACUUCGACUAUGUUGAUCGAUUUCUCAACACGAACCAGAAAAAUAUUCUGAUUUUCUCGGGAACAAUAGGUCGAUAUGUGAUAGAGUGCUAAAGACAAUGUAAAUUACCAGAAUUGAUGAAGCAAUAGGAGUCGACUGAGUAAGCACUAUUAGUGGUGAGCUUCCAAAAAG
RNAcentral lists this long non-coding RNA (533 nucleotides) under Elaeis guineensis (African oil palm). RNAcentral describes it as "long non-coding RNA (EGUI_LNC049342)". Lineage: Eukaryota; Viridiplantae; Streptophyta; Magnoliopsida; Arecales; Arecaceae. The record is from RNAcentral.